AUUGAACGCUGGCGGCAGGCCUAACACAUGCAAGUCGAACGAGUGGCGGACGGGUGAGUAAUGUCUGGGAAACUGCCCGAUGGAGGGGGAUAACUACUGGAAACGGUAGCUAAUACCGCAUACCAUCGGAUGUGCCCAGAUGGGAUUAGCUAGGAGGUGGGGUAACGGAUCACCAAGGCGAGGAUCCCUAGCUGGUCUGAGAGGAUGACCAGCCACACUGGAACUGGGACACGGUCCAUACUCCGACGGUAGGCAGCAGUGGGGAAUAGGACACAAAGGGCGCAAGCCUUAUGCAGCCAUGCCGCGGGUAUGAAGAAGGCCUUCGGGUUGUAAAGUACUUUCAGCGAGGAGGCUUUACUCGCAGAAGAAGCACCGGCUAACUCCGUGCCAGCAGCCGCGGUAAUAC
This 406-nucleotide ribosomal RNA is filed under the name uncultured bacterium. RNAcentral's name for it is "partial 16S ribosomal RNA". It matches the Rfam family "Bacterial small subunit ribosomal RNA", at positions 30 to 526 of the family's 1533-position model. The record is from RNAcentral.